GAGCUUGCUCUUGAUGACGAGUGGCGCACGGGUGAGUAACGCGUAUGCAAUCUACCUAUAACUGAGGAAUAGCCCAGAGAAAUUUGGAUUAAUACCUCAUAAUAUUAUUAUUUGGCAUCAUUUAAUAAUUAAAACUCCGGUGGUUAUAGAUGAGCAUGCGUUCUAUUAGCUAGUUGGUGAGGUAAGAGCUCACCAAGGCUACGAUAGAUAGGGGGCCUGAAAGGGUGAUCCCCCACACUGGUACUGAGACACGGACCAGACUCCUACGGGAGGCAGCAGUGAGGAAUAUUGCACAAUGGAGGAAACUCUGAUGCAGCCAUGCCGCGUGCAGGAUGAAGGCCCUAUGGGUUGUAAACUGCUUUUUUACAAGAAGAAACCUUGGUACGUGUACCAACUUGACGGUAUUGUAAGAAUAAGCACCGGCUAACUCCGUGCCAGCAGCCGCGGUAAUACGGAGGGUGCAAGCGUUAUCCGGAUUUAUUAGGUUUAAAGGGUUCGCAGGCGG
RNAcentral lists this ribosomal RNA (505 nucleotides) under uncultured Bacteroidota bacterium. Its description in RNAcentral is "bacterial SSU rRNA". It matches the Rfam family "Bacterial small subunit ribosomal RNA", at positions 76 to 578 of the family's 1533-position model. Lineage: Bacteria; Pseudomonadati; Bacteroidota. The record is from RNAcentral.